GACGAACGCUGGCGGCGUGCUUAACACAUGCAAGUCGAACGGAAAGGCCCCUUUGGGGGUACUCGAGUGGCGAACGGGUGCGUAACACGUGAGUAACCUGCCCUUGACUUCGGGAUAACUUCAGGAAACUGGGGCUAAUACCGGAUAGGAAUCCUUGCUGCAUGGUGGGGGUUGGAAAGCUUCGGCGGUUUUGGAUGGACUCGCGGCUUAUCAGCUUGUUGGUGGGGUAGUGGCUUACCAAGGCUUUGACGGGUAGCCGGCCUGAGAGGGCGACCGGCCACAUUGGGACUGAGAUACGGCCCAGACUCUUACGGGAGGCAGCAGUGGGGAAUAUUGCACAAUGGGCGGAAGCCUGAUGCAGCAACGCCGCGUGCGGGAUGACGGCCUUCGGGUUGUAAACCGCUUUCAGCAGGGGCGAAGCUUGUGGUGACGGUACCUGCAGAAGAAGCACCGGCUAACUACGUG
Molecule: ribosomal RNA, 465 nt
Filed under: uncultured bacterium
Lineage: Bacteria
Description: partial 16S ribosomal RNA
Rfam family: Bacterial small subunit ribosomal RNA
Source: RNAcentral